AGGGUUUGAUCCUGGCUCAGGAUGAACGCUAGCGGCAGGCCUAACACAUGCAAGUCGAGGGGCAGCACGUCUUCGGAUGGUGGCGACCGGCGCACGGGUGCGUAACGCGUAUGCAACCUACCCUGUACUGAGGUAUAGCCCGGAGAAAUUCGGAUUAACCCCUCAUAGUAUUAAGAGAUCGCAUGAUUUUUUAAUUAAAGGUUACGGUACAGGAUGGGCAUGCGUCCUAUUAGCUAGAUGGUAAGGUAACGGCUUACCAUGGCUACGAUAGGUAGGGGGCCUGAGAGGGUGGUCCCCCACACUGGUACUGAGACACGGACCAGACUCCUACGGGAGGCAGCAGUGAGGAAUAUUGGUCAAUGGGCGCAAGCCUGAACCAGCCCAUGCCGCGUGCAGGAAGAAUGCCCUAUGGGUUGCAAACUGCUUUUAUUUAGGAAUAAACCUUACUACGUGUAGUAAGCUGAAGGUACUGAAUGAAUAAGCACCGGCUAACUCCGUGCCAGCAGCCGCGGUAAUACGGAGGGUGCAAGCGUUAUCCCGGAAUCCUUGGGUUUAAAGGGUCC
RNAcentral lists this ribosomal RNA (563 nucleotides) under uncultured Flavobacteriia bacterium. RNAcentral's name for it is "bacterial SSU rRNA". It matches the Rfam family "Bacterial small subunit ribosomal RNA", at positions 8 to 570 of the family's 1533-position model. The record is from RNAcentral. Lineage: Bacteria; Pseudomonadati; Bacteroidota; Flavobacteriia.